UGGGGAAUAUUGCACAAUGGGCGCAAGCCUGAUGCAGCAACGCCGCGUGAGGGACGACGGCCUUCGGGUUGUAAACCUCUUUUGGCAGGGAAGAAGCGAAAGUGACGGUACCUGCAGAAAAAGCACCGGCUAACUACGUGCCAGCAGACGCGGUGAUACGUAGGGUGCAAGCGUUGUCCGGAAUUAUUGGGCGUAAAGAGCUCGUAGGCGGUUUGUCGCGUCUGCUGUGAAAACCCGAGGCUCAACCUCGGGCCUGCAGUGGGUACGGGCAAACUAGAGUGCGGUAGGGGAGAUUGGAAUUCCUGGUGUAGCGGUGGAAUGCGCAGAUAUCAGGAGGAACACCGAUGGUGAAGGCAGAUCUCUGGGCCGUAACUGACGCUGAGGAGCGAAAGCAUGGGGAGCGAACA
RNAcentral lists this ribosomal RNA (407 nucleotides) under uncultured bacterium. RNAcentral describes it as "bacterial SSU rRNA". It matches the Rfam family "Bacterial small subunit ribosomal RNA", at positions 355 to 774 of the family's 1533-position model. The record is from RNAcentral.